Molecule: ribosomal RNA, 394 nt
Filed under: uncultured bacterium
Lineage: Bacteria
Description: bacterial SSU rRNA
Rfam family: Bacterial small subunit ribosomal RNA
Source: RNAcentral
AUUGAACGCUGGCGGCAUGCCUUACACAUGCAAGUCGAACGGCAGCGGGCCUUCGGGUGCCGGCGAGUGGCGAACGGGUGAGUAAUGCAUCGGAACGUGCCAUUGAGUGGGGGAUAACGUAGCGAAAGUUACGCUAAUACCGCAUAUUCUGUGAGCAGGAAAGCAGGGGACCGCAAGGCCUUGCGCUCUUUGAGCGGCCGAUGUCAGAUUAGCUAGUUGGUGAGGUAAAGGCUUACCAAGGCGACGAUCUGUAGCGGGUCUGAGAGGAUGAUCCGCCACACUGGAACUGAGACACGGUCCAGACUCCUACGGGAGGCAGCAGUGGGGAAUUUUGGACAAUGGGCGCAAGCCUGAUCCAGCCAUGCCGCGUGAGUGAAGAAGGCCUGGUUGUAAG